Molecule: transfer RNA, 104 nt
Filed under: halophilic archaeon J07HX5
Lineage: Archaea; Methanobacteriati; Methanobacteriota; Halobacteria; Halobacteriales
Description: tRNA-Glu
Rfam family: tRNA
About the family: Transfer RNA (tRNA) molecules are approximately 80 nucleotides in length.
Source: RNAcentral
GCUCGGUUGGUGUAGUCCGGCCAAUCAUGUUGGCCUUUCGACAACCAUUGGAACACCAGGUUGGAAGUAAGCCGACGACAGGGGUUCAAAUCCCCUACCGAGCA